This 217-nucleotide small nucleolar RNA is filed under the name Castor canadensis (American beaver). Its description in RNAcentral is "Small nucleolar RNA U3 (ENSCCNG00000016573.1)". It matches the Rfam family "Small nucleolar RNA U3". Rfam says of the family: Small nucleolar RNAs (snoRNAs) are involved in the processing and modification of rRNA in the nucleolus. There are two main classes of snoRNAs: the box C/D class, and the box H/ACA class. The record is from Rfam by way of RNAcentral. Lineage: Eukaryota; Metazoa; Chordata; Mammalia; Rodentia; Castoridae.
GGGCCCAAACAUUGUUUCAGGAUCAUUUCUACAGUUUGUUACUAGAAAAGGUUUCUGAUUGUGUAGAACACGGGAAACCCAGAGGAGAGACACAACGUUCUCACCUGAGCAUGAAGCUUGGUCCUGGUGUUGCUUUAUUGGGACCACCAUUUGCCACUGAUGACUGCUCUUCCCUUCCUUUGGAGGAGUAAGAGGGUGAGGGCAUCAUCUGAGUGGU